Molecule: ribosomal RNA, 458 nt
Filed under: uncultured bacterium
Lineage: Bacteria
Description: partial 16S ribosomal RNA
Rfam family: Bacterial small subunit ribosomal RNA
Source: RNAcentral
CCUACGGGUGGCAGCAGUGAGGAAUAUUGGUCAAUGGGCGAGAGCCUGAACCAGCCAAGUCGCGUGAGGGAGUACUGCCCUAUGGGUUGUAAACCUCUUUUGUCGGGGAGCAAAAGCCGGACGUGUCCGGCUGUGAGAGUACCCGAAGAAAAAGCAUCGGCUAACUCCGUGCCAGCAGCCGCGGUAAUACGGGGGAUGCGAGCGUUAUCGGGAUUUAUUGGGUUUAAAGGGUGCGCAGGCGGAUUUUUAAGUCAGCGGUAAAAUCGUGGGGCUCAACCCCAUCCAGCCGUUGAAACUGGGGAUCUAGAGUGUGCGAGAGGUAUGCGGAAUGCGUGGUGUAGCGGUGAAAUGCAUAGAUAUCACGCAGAACCCCGAUUGCGAAGGCAGCAUACCGGUGCACAACUGACGCUCAGGCACGAAAGCGUGGGUAUCGAACAGGAUUAGAUACCCGGGUAGUC